UACAGAGGUCCCAAGCGUUGUUCGGAUUCACUGGGCGUAAAGGGUGCGUAGGUGGUGGGGGAAGUCGGAUGUGAAAGCUCGGAGCUCAACUCCGAAAUGGCAUUGGAAACUACCCUGCUAGAGGAUUGGAGGGGGGACUGGAAUACUUGGUGUAGCAGUGAAAUGCGUAGAUAUCAAGUGGAACACCAGUGGCGAAGGCGAGUCCCUGGACAAUACCUGACACUGAGGCACGAAAGCUAGGGGAGCAAACAGG
RNAcentral lists this ribosomal RNA (253 nucleotides) under uncultured bacterium. RNAcentral's name for it is "partial 16S ribosomal RNA". It matches the Rfam family "Bacterial small subunit ribosomal RNA", at positions 524 to 776 of the family's 1533-position model. The record is from RNAcentral.